Molecule: ribosomal RNA, 472 nt
Filed under: uncultured bacterium
Lineage: Bacteria
Description: bacterial SSU rRNA
Rfam family: Bacterial small subunit ribosomal RNA
Source: RNAcentral
GAUGAACGCUGGCGGCGUGCUUAACACAUGCAAGUCGAACGAAGCACUUUAUUACAAUUUCUUCGGAAUGACGAUUUAGUGACUGAGUGGCGGACGGGUGAGUAACGCGUGGGUAACCUGCCUUAUACAGGGGGAUAACAGUUAGAAAUGACUGCUAAUACCGCAUAAGCGCACAGGAUUGCAUGAUCUGGUGUGAAAAACUCCGGUGGUAUAAGAUGGACCCGCGUCUGAUUAGCUGGUUGGUGAGGUAACGGCCCACCAAGGCAACGAUCAGUAGCCGACCUGAGAGGGUGACCGGCCACAUUGGGACUGAGACACGGCCCAAACUCCUACGGGAGGCAGCAGUGGGGAAUAUUGCACAAUGGGGGGAACCCUGAUGCAGCGACGCCGCGUGAGCGAAGAAGUAUUUCGGUAUGUAAAGCUCUAUCAGCAGGGAAGAAAAAAAUGACGGUACCUGACUAAGAAGCCCCGG